This 556-nucleotide ribosomal RNA is filed under the name uncultured Aspergillus. RNAcentral describes it as "SSU rRNA". It matches the Rfam family "Eukaryotic small subunit ribosomal RNA", at positions 194 to 755 of the family's 1831-position model. Lineage: Eukaryota; Fungi; Ascomycota; Eurotiomycetes; Eurotiales; Aspergillaceae. The record is from RNAcentral.
GGAAGGGGUGUAUUUAUUAGAUAAAAAACCAAUGCCCUUCGGGGCUCCUUGGUGAAUCAUAAUAACUUAACGAAUCGCAUGGCCUUGCGCCGGCGAUGGUUCAUUCAAAUUUCUGCCCUAUCAACUUUCGAUGGUAGGAUAGUGGCCUACCAUGGUGGCAACGGGUAACGGGGAAUUAGGGUUCGAUUCCGGAGAGGGAGCCUGAGAAACGGCUUCCACAUCCAAGGAAGGCAGCAGGCGCGCAAAUUACCCAAUCCCGACACGGGGAGGUAGUGACAAUAAAUACUGAUACGGGGCUCUUUUGGGUCUCGUAAUUGGAAUGAGUACAAUCUAAAUCCCUUAACGAGGAACAAUUGGAGGGCAAGUCUGGUGCCAGCAGCCGCGGUAAUUCCAGCUCCAAUAGCGUAUAUUAAAGUUGUUGCAGUUAAAAAGCUCGUAGUUGAACCUUGGGUCUGGCUGGCCGGUCCGCCUCACCGCGAGUACUGGUCCGGCUGGACCUUUCCUUCUGGGGAAUCUCAUGGCCUUCACUGGCUGUGGGGGGAACCAGGACUUUUAC